ACUUUACAAUGCCGGCAACGGCGAUAAGGGGACCUCGAGUGCCAGGUUACAAAUCUGGCUGUCGUGAUGCCUAAAAAGCAUUGCAUAGCAAGGGCCGGGCAAGACCGGUGCCAGCCGCCGCGGUAACACCGGCGGCUCGAGUGGUAACCGUUAUUAUUGGGUCUAAAGGGUCUGUAGCCGGCCGGAUAAGUCUCUUGAGAAAUCCAGCAGCUCAACUGUUGGGCUUUCAGGAGAUACUGUUCGGCUCGAGGCCGGGAGAGGUGAGAGGUACUUCAGGGGUAGGGGUGAAAUCUUGUAAUCCUUGAAGGACCACCAGUGGCGAAGGCGUCUCACCAGAACGGACCUGACGGCAAGGGACGAAAGCUAGGGGCACGAACCGGAUUAGAUACCCGGGUAGUCCUAGCCGUAAACGAUACUCGCUAGGUGUCGGCCACGGUGCGACCGUUGUCGGUGCCGUAGGGAAGCCGUGAAGCGAGCC
This 478-nucleotide ribosomal RNA is filed under the name uncultured archaeon. RNAcentral's name for it is "bacterial SSU rRNA". It matches the Rfam family "Archaeal small subunit ribosomal RNA", at positions 347 to 825 of the family's 1478-position model. The record is from RNAcentral.